RNAcentral lists this ribosomal RNA (127 nucleotides) under Diaphorina citri (Asian citrus psyllid). The record is from RNAcentral. Lineage: Eukaryota; Metazoa; Arthropoda; Insecta; Hemiptera; Psyllidae.
GCUAGCAGCGAUAGAGCGUGGAAUACAUCAGGUUAUUCAGUUCCCGAUGGACCACUGAAGAUAAUCAACGUUGCGCGUGGUUGGUAUCAGGCUGGGUGACCGUCAGGGAAAUGGCGUGCUUUUGGCU